Molecule: long non-coding RNA, 1024 nt
Organism: Daphnia pulex (common water flea)
Lineage: Eukaryota; Metazoa; Arthropoda; Branchiopoda; Diplostraca; Daphniidae
Exons: 2
Source: RefSeq, a predicted model, not a curated record
UAAGGCGUCGUAUGCUGUUGGAUGUUGUAUCGACCACUGGUGUUCUGAUGUGUCCGGGGAAUGGCGGAUGCCAAAUCGCAACGCUGCCGCCUUACUACGCAACAACCGUUUACUACACCACCAAGGCUCCAGAGUAUUACACCACAAUUGAUGAUGCCCCGAGUUGCUACACCGAAUCCCGAAGUAUAACUCUGCCCCGAGUUACAUCACCAGAGAGGCGGAGUACUACACCGAGGUUCCCAAGUACUACAUUACUGAGGCACCGGAAUACUACACGUCUAUGUAUGCUGCCCCUGCCUACUACACCGAGGCCUACAAGACCGAAGCGCUCAAGUACUACACUACAACCUACGCUGCCCCGAGCCACCACACUGACGCCCCGAAGUAUUACUCUGUCCCGAGUUACUACACCAUCUAGGCGACGGAAUACUACAUGACUACGCAUGCUGCCUGGAGUUACUGCACCACCAAGGCGACAGUACUACAUGAUGACGUAUGCUGCCUGGAGUUACUACACCACCAAGGCGAUGGAGCACUACAUGAUUACGUAUUCUGCCCAUCCUACUACACCGAGGUUCUAAUUACUACACCGAGGCUCCCGCUUUCUCCACCAAAACGGCCGAAUACUACACCGAAGUGGCAAACUUUUUCUCUACCCCGAUCUACACAACGCAGUCCCGACUUGCUACGCAGAAGCUGCUAUUUCGUUCUACGUUAAACACUACACUGAUGCUCGAGUCUACUUCACCACGACCUACGCUACACCUAGCUACAACACCGCAGCUCUCAGUACACCAAAGAAGCCGCGUAUUACUCAAUCACGUACGCUGCCUGUUAUACUACAUCGAGGAUUUUAAGUAUUACCCUGCUCCAAACUACUACCAUCUGAUGUUCAUAUGUAUUACACCAGCAAUUCUCCUGACUUUGUCACCACUUUAAUGUUGCUCCUACCUAUACAACGAAGUUCUGAAGUAUAUCACUGAAUGUGUUGAAAUAUUGCUGAAAUACAAGAUUGAUCGAUAAA